AUGCUGUCACUGGACUCUUCUACAGUUUCUCUGCUCAUCAUCACUCUCCUCACAGCAGUCAGAUGUGAAGAACUCAAUCCAGUCAAGGAUGAAGAGUCCAGUUUAGAAGGCACCACAGUGACUCUGUCCUACAGAUUCUCCAGAGAAGCUAAAGGCACUGAUUAUUUCUUCUGGUAUCGACAAUAUCCUGGAAAACCACCGGAGUUCCUGAUCUAUCAUUUAUCAUCAGGAAAAGUAAUGAAACAAGAAAUCUCUGGACUGUCUGUUAAUGUGAGUGAAAGUAAAACACUGAUGACUCUUCAGAUCUCCUCUGCUGCAGUGACAGACUCUGCUGUGUACUACUGUGCUCUGCAGCCCACAGUGACAGGAAACACCAAAACUCUGUACUAAAACCUUUGGAGCAAAGACAACAGAAUACUCCACAACAUCCACUAGAGGGAGACACACACCUUUGUUAGGAUACAGAAUCAUAACACAGCUGUGAUGAGCUUCAGGUGAAGUGAAUGUGAUGUGAGCCUCCUCCUCCUCCUGACUGCAGAAACCUGUCUGACUCCAGCUGUGAACAUCAGUCCACUCACAGCUAACUCCCAGUAAAUUGAUGUGGAUUUCAUCCUGACAUAUAUACCUGUAUACACUAGAUACGUAAUCGCAGUUACUUGAAUAAAUUGUGUGUAAUGAUACAUACUCAUAUAUCAGGGAUAGCUCAGUAGGUAGAGUGGUGGCCCCAUGAUCGGAAGGUCGGGGGAUCGAUUCCCCUGAACAGCUACCCUGAGGUACCCCUGAGCAAGGUACCGUCCCUACACACUGCUCCCUGGGCACCUAAAGACUGCUUCACUGAGUGAAUGGGUUAAAUGCAGAGAGGAAUUUCCCCACGGGGAUCAAUAAAGUACACUUUCUUUCUUUCAUAUACAUGCAUGCUCACAAUGAAGUGUUUAUAUAGGGGAGUCACUGUGUUAAGCAUUUGAUGUUCAAAUCACAUGACCCAUAUAUUAGUGAAGAAUUUGUGCCACUUGUUAUAUGAAUACAUGUUUAUUAAUACUGUUUGAAAAUGUAACCAUGAGGAUCAGAAAGAAACCUUUGAUAGUGUUCUGGCCAAAUAUGACUAGUCCAACAAAGUACUAAUUCAGCUUGGCAUUGCUAAAGUAUGUGCAUAGGACCCCUCCCCAGCAUUUAACUGUGCAGCAGAAGCAUGCAGCUGUGUUUGACUGGACUGCUUCACGCCGUGUGCAGCUCUUUAACUGGCUGUACAACAGAUGGCUUUGGAUGGCAUUAAAGCAAAGGCCCGGGGCCCUUUCUGGGGCUCUAAGACAAAAGCAUACAGCUAUUUAAAUGACUGUAAAGCAAGAAACCUGGCCUUUGCAGGGCAUGUAACUGGGAUUCUGGUUCUCGCCUCAAACACCCGAAGCAUGGAUCACAGUUUAUGUCUGGCAUGUGCGCCGCCCAACAAAAUUGUUGAAUAGAUUAACUGAUUAAUCGCUUUUCUGUAGACAUUCAGACUCACUUUGGCCAUGAAACUGUCAAAGGGACCCAAUGCAGUGAUGGAUGAGAGACUGGUAUGCAAGACGUUAUGGUGUAGGGUCGUGCAGAUCAUAAGUAGGAGAUGAAAAGACAAAAACAAAGGAUGAAAGUAUAUCCAACGACAGGAGGGGGGACCACUGUCCCUGUAAGAUGACUCCGAUAUCCAUUGGGACUCUUUUGUCUGCUGCUUCUUUCCUGUCUGUCUUUUGUGUGUGUUUCUGCUUUAAAGCUCUACACUUGCUUUGCUUUUCAUUCACUUUUCUUGCUUUCUAUGUGUUAUUUCUGCUUUUACAGUUUUUCUCAGUCGCUUUGGUGCGUUUCUCAGAUCAGAAUUGAAAUUCUCAUAACUAUUAGUUCAACCUCCACAACACUCAGUCAUUUGUGCACAUCAUAGUAGCAAUUUCUCCCCUCUCUGAACAAACUGCAAAUGAUCUUGGACAUGAAUCAGUUGCUUCCAUACAUUUCCCUGCUGCUUCCUGACAUUUCCAUUUGCUUAUGUCAUGUCAGUCAAAAGUAAUCAUACCUAUGGAUGCUGAAUAGUCGUUCCCAAUAAAACUAAUAGUCAUACAUCUAUUGCUUGAGUCAUCACACACAAAAUUGUUGAACUAGUUAUCACAUGCCAAAUAUUGGCCAUCUGUCAAGCAAAUCCUAUACCUUUCUGUAUCAUUUUUC
This is a long non-coding RNA of Oreochromis niloticus (Nile tilapia), 2190 nucleotides long. Lineage: Eukaryota; Metazoa; Chordata; Actinopteri; Cichliformes; Cichlidae. The record is from Ensembl.